UGUCCAGACUCCUACGGGAGGCAGCAGUGGGGAAUAUUGCGCAAUGGGCGAAAGCCUGACGCAGCGACGCCGCGUGAGGGAUGAAGGUCUUCGGAUCGUAAACCUCUGUCAGCAGGGAAGAACGGUCACUGUGCUAAUCAGCAGUGAAUUGACGGUACCUGACUAAGAAGCCCCGGCUAACUACGUGCCAGCAGCCGCGGUAAUACGUAGGGGGCGAGCGUUAUCCGGAUUUACUGGGUGUAAAGGGAGCGUAGACGGUUCUGCAAGUCUGAAGUGAAAGCCCGUGGCUUAACCGCGGAACGGCUUUGGAAACUGUGGAACUGGAGUGCUGGAGAGGCAAGCGGAAUUCCUAGUGUAGCGGUGAAAUGCGUAGAUAUUAGGAGGAACACCAGUGGCGAAGGCGGCUUGCUGGACAGUAACUGACGUUGAGGCUCGAGAGCGUGGGGAGCAAACAGGAUUAGAUACCCUCGUAA
Molecule: ribosomal RNA, 473 nt
Filed under: uncultured bacterium
Lineage: Bacteria
Description: bacterial SSU rRNA
Rfam family: Bacterial small subunit ribosomal RNA
Source: RNAcentral